Molecule: transfer RNA, 73 nt
Filed under: Mycolicibacterium sp. CBMA 213
Lineage: Bacteria; Bacillati; Actinomycetota; Actinomycetes; Mycobacteriales; Mycobacteriaceae
Also listed under: 1 other name
Description: tRNA-Ala
Rfam family: tRNA
About the family: Transfer RNA (tRNA) molecules are approximately 80 nucleotides in length. Their secondary structure includes four short double-helical elements and three loops (D, anti-codon, and T loops).
Source: RNAcentral
GGGGGCUUAGCUCAGUUGGUAGAGCACCUGCUUUGCAAGCAGGCUGUCAGGGGUUCGAUUCCCCUAGCCUCCA